GCCGCCUUAGCUCAGUUGGUUUAGAGCGCGACAUUGGUAAUGUCGAGGUCCUGAGUUCGAACCUCAGAGGCGGCU
This 75-nucleotide transfer RNA is filed under the name Candidatus Pacearchaeota archaeon. RNAcentral's name for it is "tRNA-Thr". It matches the Rfam family "tRNA". Rfam says of the family: Transfer RNA (tRNA) molecules are approximately 80 nucleotides in length. Lineage: Archaea; Nanobdellati. The record is from RNAcentral.